AUUGAACGCUGGCGGCAUGCCUUACACAUGCAAGUCGAACGGCAGCACGGGAGCAAUCCUGGUGGCGAGUGGCGAACGGGUGAGUAAUAUAUCGGAACGUGCCCAGUAGUGGGGGAUAGCCCGGCGAAAGCCGGAUUAAUACCGCGUACGACCUGAGGGUGAAAGCCGGGGACCGCAAGGCCUGGCGCUUGAAGAGGGGCCCGCGCCUGAUUAGCUAGUUGGUGGGGUAAUGGCUCACCAAGGCAACGAUCAGUAUCCGGCCUGAGAGGGCGGACGGACACACUGGGACUGAGACACGGCCCAGACUCCUACGGGAGGCAGCAGUGGGGAAUUGUUCGCAAUGGGCGCAAGCCUGACGACGCAACGCCGCGUGGAGGAUGAAGAUCUUCGGGUCGUAAACUCUUUUCGAUCGAGACGAAUGGCCCUUGGGCUAAUACCCUGAGGGAGUGACGGUACCGAGAGAAGAAGCCCCCGGCUAACUCCGUGCCAGCAGCCGCGGUAAU
This 503-nucleotide ribosomal RNA is filed under the name uncultured bacterium. RNAcentral describes it as "bacterial SSU rRNA". It matches the Rfam family "Bacterial small subunit ribosomal RNA", at positions 29 to 524 of the family's 1533-position model. The record is from RNAcentral.